This 497-nucleotide ribosomal RNA is filed under the name uncultured bacterium. Its description in RNAcentral is "bacterial SSU rRNA". It matches the Rfam family "Bacterial small subunit ribosomal RNA", at positions 29 to 507 of the family's 1533-position model. The record is from RNAcentral.
AACGAACGCUGGCGGCGCGCCUAACACAUGCAAGUCGAACGAGAAUCCGGGGCAACCCGGUAGUAAAGUGGCAAACGGGUGAGGAAUACAUGGGUAACCUACCCUUGAGAAGGGAAUAACCCGCCGAAAGGUGAGCUAAUACCCUAUACGCUAUCUUUUUUUCGAAAAGGAUAGGAAAGCCGGGUCGAGGACCCCUGGUACUCAAGGAGGGGCUCAUGUCCUAUCAGCUUGUUGGUGGGGUAACGGCCUACCAAGGCUACGACGGGUAGCUGGUCUGAGAGGAUGAUCAGCCACACUGGCACUGAGAUACGGGCCAGACUCCUACGGGAGGCAGCAGUGAGGAAUAUUGCGCAAUGGGCGAAAGCCUGACGCAGCGACGCCGCGUGGGGGAUGAAGGUUUUCGGAUUGUAAAGCUCUUUCGGCAGGAACGAAACGGUGAAGGCUAAUAACCUUUACUAAUGACGGUACCUGAAGAAGAAGCACCGGCUAACUACGUG